This 338-nucleotide unclassified non-coding RNA is filed under the name soil metagenome. RNAcentral describes it as "partial contains 5.8S ribosomal RNA, internal transcribed spacer 2, and large subunit ribosomal RNA". The stretch from base 1 to 120 matches the Rfam family "5.8S ribosomal RNA", at positions 35 to 154 of the family's 154-position model. The record is from RNAcentral.
GAUGAAGAACGUAGUGAAAUGCGAUAAGUAAUGUGAAUUGCAGAAUUCAGUGAAUCAUCGAAUCUUUGAACGCACAUUGCGCCCGCCAGUAUUCUGGCGGGCAUGCCUGUUCGAGCGUCAUUUCAACCAUCAAGCCCCCCCGGCUUGUGUUGGGGACCUGCGGCUGCCGCAGGCCCUGAAAAGCAGUGGCGGGCUCGCUGUCACACCGAGCGUAGUAGAUCUCAUCUCGCUCAGGGCGUGCUGCGGGUUCCGGCCGUUAAACCACCUUCAUAACCCAAGGUUGACCUCGGAUCAGGUAGGAAGACCCGCUGAACUUAAGCAUAUCAAUAAGCGGAGGA